This is a non-coding RNA of Danio rerio (zebrafish), 1183 nucleotides long. NCBI's taxonomy places the organism in Eukaryota, Metazoa, Chordata, Actinopteri, Cypriniformes, Danionidae. The record is from RefSeq and is a predicted model, not a curated record.
GCUAACAUUGUCUUAACUGAUGCUCAACACACAAAUUUGUCGAAAUCUCAAAAAAAGUAUAGAGGGUUUCAUGAACCUUUAAGUUAACCUGAGGAAACUGAACAUAUUACAUGACUUCCAUCUCAUCCCUGAUUUGUGGAAUUGUUACAACUCUCCCUGUUAUAUACACGAUCUACCCUAUAUACAGUAACCAGUACAAAGCAAAUAUCCCAUUCUUAAAUUAUUGCAUAUGUUUGUAUACACUUGUAAGAAUUACUGACAUUUAGUCAGUUUCUGAAUUAAUCAAGACAUGGGGAUUUGUCAUUGUGGUUUAAUCAUUGAUUUGUAUUAUUAUUAUUUUUCCAUGUUUUGUGUGGAAAAGAUACAGCAUACCAAAUUACAUGAUUUUCAUAAUAUCUUGUUAUUUUCUGUCCUGUAAGGUUGUGACGAUCAGGAGACAUGUGUAAUUAAACAGAUGACACCAUGUGGUGCUGGUCCACCGCUUUUACAUACAGUUAGUAUGGAAGGAUUGCCCCCCCCAUUCAUGAAAGAUGAGCAUUUAGAUAUCACAAAGAACGUAGUGUCAACCAGAAGGUCAUCACACAGCCUUUUAACAGAAAAGACUGUUGCCAUAAGGCCAGUGGAUUCCUCACCAACAAAACAAUCACAGACACAAGAAAGAAAAAGACCAUGAGAAACAACACAAACACCUGAGAGGCCAGAACACAGAACCCAAAGAAGACAGAAAUAAAAAGAAGAGUUGCCACACUUUGUAAAAUUAAACACUAUUACACAACAGGAUUAUUGAGGUUAAACAUGGACAAAGUAGGUUUAUCCUACAGUGACUGAAUUAUUAUUAUUAUUAGUUGCAUACAGCUACAGUUCUGCUUCAUAGAUUUGGAGCCCUCUGAAAUCUUUUUUUAAUUGUAGAGCAAUAAUUGGUUUCAGCCAUUAAGUGAAGUUGAGCUUGAUUGUCAUUUCGCUACAUGUGUGGAUAUACAGUUUUAAGAAUGUUGUGUCUCGCAGGACCACAGUGCUAAAUAAACAGACUGGUGUCCUGCAGAGUUUAGCUCCAACCCUAAUCAAAUACACCUUCAUAUUGCAUUUUUUAGUGAUCUUGAUGACACAGAGGGCGUACUCACACUAUUUACACAAAGUCGUUUGAUAUGCAGUGACAUGCAGUCAAAUAUUUCGCCAAACAGAU